AGAUCAUGACCUGAGUGGAGAUAAGAGACGCUUAACCAACUGAGCCAUCCAGGCACCCUUGUAAUUGCUUUUUAGAUAUAGAAAAAAAGAGAAAGAUUUGUAAAAUUUCAUUCAUAAGAGCUUAAAAUUGAGCAUUAAAAGUACAGGGGGUGUGGGUGUCGUCUCGUGCCAGGCACUCUGGGACAGGAACCUCGUCAACAAGGGAAGGGAUCUAGGUUCCGGAAUCUGAGUGUGGAACCUGGCCUUCCAACACACAGGGACGUUUAUUCUCUUGUAGUAAGAGGAUGGAGAUCAAUCACGGGCAUCUCCGUGGAGAUGCAAAGAUCUCCAAGUGAAAAAAGCAAAUUGCACAACAAAAUAUUGAGUGUCCACGAGAGGGAAAAGUCAACCCUAGUGAAAUCACAUAUGCGUGUUAACUAGUGGGAAGGGAAGGGAUGAUGAGAUUCUCCCUAAGCCCUCCAUGUGAUGCCUGUGGGGGCAGAGGCACUGUCCUUUUCUUCACCUGAUGUCAGUGCUUGAUGUGCAGAUGCCCGUGCAGGGUCCCGGGCAGCACCCGGUGCUCAGGGCCAGUGGCCACAUUCUGCUGCUGGACGCUACCCCGGUGCCACACGCUGCCUCAGCCACCUCUCACAAAAACCUGAUGAAGUCGUUAUUACCCCAUUUUACAGGUGAGGAAGCUGAGUCAUAGGUGGGCUCCUAGUUAGUAGGUCAAGGAAAUGGAGGCCUACAAUCCGACCGCUUGACCUCCCGGAGCCUGUGUGCUCAAUCAGAAAACCGCAGGAGAGCGCCCUGCCUCCCUGAUUCUCUAGCUGGGGAGGACGACCCGUAGGAAACAAUACCAGUCAGCUCAGGUUCCCAGGAAAACAUGCCAUAUUGGUGAAGUGGGGGCUCAGAGGAGGGAGGAAAGACCCCAUGUGGGGAGUGCUUCCCACAGGGCCAUGAGGUCUCGGACGAUACACCGAAGAGCUGGGGUUUUAUGCUGCAGGUGGUGGGGAGCCAUUGAAGGUUUUAAGCAAGGGGAGCUAUUACAUGCUGCUGAGCACAGUGGCUCCCAAGGGUGAUUCUUUCGUGCUUGGUAUGAGGGGUGCAGAGGGAGUGGAGGCAGGGACCCCCUAGGGAGGCUUCCAGGUGACAGAGGCCAGGACCAGUAACCAUGAGCUGGACAAGAAGGUUGUGUAGCCUGUGUGUGUGUGUGUAGAGAGAGAGUGAGCAGGGGAGGGGCAGAGAGAGAAGGAAAGAGAGAGGGAGAGAAUCCAUGCAGGCUCCACACUGCACUCUGUCCGUGCAGAGCCUGAUGUGGGGCUCGAGCUCACCAACCGUGAUAUCAUGACCUGAGCCAAAAUCAAGAAUCGGAUGCUUAACCGACCAGGCCACCCAGAUGCCCCAGGUUAUGUAGCCUUUAAAAGAAAGACCUCACAAUUACAUCUCAGGCUGGGGGUUUUUGUUUUUAUAAAAAGGACAGGCUGUAAGUCCCUGUUCCUAUACAUAGGCGUACAGGAACGGGACGUGUCUGUUCCUCAGGCGGCUUCUCUGACACCAGAGAAGACCAAAGGUUGCAUCAUAGAAAGUGCCAAAGGCCAAAAAUUAUUCUACAAUAUCCAGUUUUGCUCACUCUAGUGAUGUGAACUUCAGAUUAGAGCUCAGAUUGGAAAAAGGAUUCUUUAGGUGAUGUGGUAUGUGGCCAGCAGCGAGGAGCUGGUCCGCAUGUCACACGCCCAUUAUGACCUCUGACCCGCAGUGGCCAGCUGAAGUGCUGAUAGCACGGGACGUGCCCUGGGCGGAGUGGACCCUGUCUGCUCCUCCCACCAGCCCUUGCUUUUCUGGAUCCCGACACCGGCUUUUGCACAGCCCCCGGGCACCCCCUUUCUCUUAGGUCUACACUGGAUCCCCAGAAGGAAUUUGACCAAGGAAAGUCAGGAAAAUAACCCACAGGAAGGAAGCAAUGACGGUCUCAUGUGAAGGGCAUCAGUUCCUGGAAUUUAAAGGGGGCCACUCUUGCCAGAUGGAUAUGGCUACAAUCCUUGCUCCACCUGUCCCUACUGACACUUUGCAGGACACAGGACAAAACUGGACCCUGGCCGUUUGUCUUUGGCGUCUGUCACAUUUGGUCAGCCCUACAGUUCCUACCUCCUAAGUCACGGAUUUGAUCAAAGAUGCCCUUGGCAGUGGUAUUAGAUGGGCUUCGUCCUACCUCCCAGAGACAAAAUCUGGUGGGUGGCACCUCCAGCCUCUCCCUAAUGGCGGGACUCCAUUCUCAGAACCUGAGAAUCUUGGAACAGGGCAGGAUUGUGAGACUGCAUUCUGUCCCCCACGCGGUUCCUCCCGGGCUUCCCUGCCCCACGAUGGCUCCUCCCCCGUGGCCUUCUCCAUGACUGCUUCAUGUCAGCCACUGCUUGUCUUCUGCUGGAGCACAAGGGGGCUGUCUCCGGCCCCGUCCUCAGGCUCCCUCCCCACGCCCAGGGGCAGCUCGCCGAAGCUAGCCAUGACCACGGUGCAAGCGGCAGGAGAAGCAAGCUCUGGGUGUCACUGGCAAAACAGAAUAAGGACAGAGAAGGGAGGCCAGAACCCUCGGAGGCCCUGCAAGGGGCUGUAAAACUCACCGGCUGGGGCAGCUUAAUGGAGGUCCCCCCGACCUAACAAGGUGGCCUGUCAUCUCCACUUGGAAAUGGCCAUUUGCUUCCCCCCGGCCAAAGAAGAUACCCAGUUGUCAUAAAUUCAGUGCUCUGGUAAAUGGUAACAAGCUUACCUUGGUUUCUCUUUACUGUCGCAAAUUAAACAGUGACAGAUGUCAAA
Long non-coding RNA from Felis catus (domestic cat), 2793 nucleotides. RefSeq lists it as uncharacterized. Lineage: Eukaryota; Metazoa; Chordata; Mammalia; Carnivora; Felidae. The record is from RefSeq and is a predicted model, not a curated record. The transcript has 2 exons.